This 222-nucleotide ribosomal RNA is filed under the name Salmonella enterica subsp. enterica serovar Amager. Its description in RNAcentral is "partial 23S ribosomal RNA". It matches the Rfam family "Bacterial large subunit ribosomal RNA", at positions 1124 to 1345 of the family's 2925-position model. Lineage: Bacteria; Pseudomonadati; Pseudomonadota; Gammaproteobacteria; Enterobacterales; Enterobacteriaceae. The record is from RNAcentral.
UAAAGAAAGCGUAAUAGCUCACUGGUCGAGUCGGCCUGCGCGGAAGAUGUAACGGGGCUAAACCAUGCACCGAAGCUGCGGCAGCGACACUAUGUGUUGUUGGGUAGGGGAGCGUUCUGUAAGCCUGUGAAGGUGUGUCGUGAGGCAUGCUGGAGGUAUCAGAAGUGCGAAUGCUGACAUAAGUAACGAUAAAGCGGGUGAAAAGCCCGCUCGCCGGAAGAC